RNAcentral lists this ribosomal RNA (116 nucleotides) under Bacillaceae bacterium SAOS 7. RNAcentral also lists the same sequence under 5 other names. The record is from RNAcentral. Lineage: Bacteria; Bacillati; Bacillota; Bacilli; Caryophanales; Bacillaceae.
UCUGGUGGCGAUAGCGAAGAGGUCACACCCGUUCCCAUACCGAACACGGAAGUUAAGCUCUUCAGCGCCGAUGGUAGUUGGGGGUUUCCCCCUGUGAGAGUAGGACGUUGCCAGGC